GUUGGGCAUUUUGGCAUAUGCCUGUAAUCCCAGCUACUCAGGAGGCUGAGGCAGGAGAAUCGCUUGAACCCGGGAGGUGGAGUUUGCAGUGAGCUGAGAUUGUGGCCACUGCACUCCAGCCUGGCAACAGAGCAAGACUCCAUCAAAAACAAACAAACAAACUCCCAAAAAACCAUGAUAGCUCUUUGCACAUAAAAUAAACAUUUUUUAAAAAGAUAAGGGGUUGUGGAGACUACUUUUUUUUUUUGACAGUCUCACUCUGUUGCCCAGGCUGGAGUACAGUGGCGCAAUCUUGGUUCACCGCAACCUCCACCUCCUGGGUUCAAGCAAUUCUCCUGCCUCAG
Molecule: small RNA, 344 nt
Filed under: Pongo abelii (Sumatran orangutan)
Lineage: Eukaryota; Metazoa; Chordata; Mammalia; Primates; Hominidae
Description: Metazoan signal recognition particle RNA (ENSPPYG00000039949.1)
Source: RNAcentral